This 497-nucleotide ribosomal RNA is filed under the name uncultured bacterium. RNAcentral's name for it is "partial 16S ribosomal RNA". It matches the Rfam family "Bacterial small subunit ribosomal RNA", at positions 28 to 507 of the family's 1533-position model. The record is from RNAcentral.
GAUGAACGCUGGCGGCGUGCCUAAUACAUGCAAGUCGAGCGAACAGACGAGGAGCUUGCUCCUCUGACGUUAGCGGCGGACGGGUGAGUAACACGUGGAUAACCUACCUAUAAGACUGGGAUAACUUCGGGAAACCGGAGCUAAUACCGGAUAACAUGUUGAACCGCAUGGUUCAACAGUGAAAGACGGUCUUGCUGUCACUUAUAGAUGGAUCCGCGCCGCAUUAGCUAGUCGGUAAGGUAACGGCUUACCAAGGCAACGAUGCGUAGCCGACCUGAGAGGGUGAUCGGCCACAAUGGAACUGAGACACGGUCCAGACUCCUACGGGAGGCAGCAGUAGGGAAUCUUCCGCAAUGGGCGAAAGCCUGACGGAGCAACGCCGCGUGAGUGAAGAAGGUCUUCGGAUCGUAAAACUCUGUUAUUAGGGAAGAACAAAUGUGUAAGUAACUAUGCACGUCUUGACGGUACCUAAUCAGAAAGCCACGGCUAACUACGUG